This is a long non-coding RNA of Chinchilla lanigera (long-tailed chinchilla), 783 nucleotides long. RefSeq lists it as uncharacterized. Lineage: Eukaryota; Metazoa; Chordata; Mammalia; Rodentia; Chinchillidae. The record is from RefSeq and is a predicted model, not a curated record. The transcript has 5 exons.
UGAAAAUUGAAAGAAAGCAAAAAUGUCUUUAUGACUGUGGUGGAGUCCCAGCUCAGCUCGGCUGAGGGCUCUCAGCUAAAUCACAUCACUGUGGAGGACAAAGCAGAUGAGCAUGGCAGGAGUGCAUGUGGGAAGCAGGACUACAUCUCAAGUAUGGUGACAGAGAGAGCCGGAGGCAGCCAGGACAGGAGCAGGCAUUAAUAACAACUCACUCUCCUGAGGACUUAUGCCAGGGGACUGGUAUUCUCUUCCUAGUUUGUACAAUGUUGGCAUUUUUCAUCAAAGUCCUUGAAAAUAUUUGGACCUUGAAGUACCCUAGAGACCUUCAAAAGCACAAGUGGAAAAGGCCUAUCAGUUUGACCACAGAUGUAACCAUAGCAGAUAUGGACCUAGAAUCCAGGGAUUUGGUCACUGAUUAGUCCAUCUGAGAUCUUCAGUUUCCGUGACUAUUCAAGCACUUGGUUAUGGGCGCAUGGUGUGAUCAUACUUUAAAGGGUCCAGAAUGACCCAUCACUUGGGUUCCUUCAGUGGCCUCCCCUCAUCUCAGGAGAAGGAGAUCUGGACCUGUCGUCUUGGCCUGUUGAUUGCUUUGAGCUGAAGGCACCUGAGACACAGCAGGCACAAGAAGGGCUUUCUGACAUUCUCUUUUCCGUCUAAAAGCAGGCCAUACAGUUUCCCCUAAGAGAAGUGCCCUGCCUGGACCAGGAAGAGAAGAACACUCAUCUUCACAAGCUAAGGAAUCAAGGCUAAAACAGACCUGCACAAACAAACUUACUAAAAUAA